This 462-nucleotide ribosomal RNA is filed under the name uncultured soil bacterium. RNAcentral's name for it is "bacterial SSU rRNA". It matches the Rfam family "Bacterial small subunit ribosomal RNA", at positions 26 to 490 of the family's 1533-position model. The record is from RNAcentral.
AGAUUGAACGCUGGCGGCAUGCCUAACACAUGCAAGUCGAACGGCAGCGCGGGUAGCAAUACCUGGCGGCGAGUGGCGGACGGGUGAGGAAUACAUAGGAAUCUACCCUGUCGUGGGGGAUAACGUAGGGAAACUUACGCUAAUACCGCAUACGACCGAGAGGUGAAAGCGGCGGACCGCAAGGCGUCGCGCGACUGGAUGAGCCUAUGUCCGAUUAGCUAGUUGGCGGGGUAAUGGCCCACCAAGGCGACGAUCGGUAGCUGGUCUGAGAGGAUGAUCAGCCACACUGGAACUGAGACACGGUCCAGACUCCUACGGGAGCAGCAGUGGGAAUAUGGACAAGUGGGCGCAAGCCUGAUCCAGCAAUGCCGCGGUGGGUAGAAGAAGGCCGUUACGGUUAGUAAACGUCCCUUUUAGGUAACGGAAGUAAACUCCUUGGUACGGUUAAACGUACCCGGCGGG